This 497-nucleotide ribosomal RNA is filed under the name uncultured bacterium. RNAcentral describes it as "partial 16S ribosomal RNA". It matches the Rfam family "Bacterial small subunit ribosomal RNA", at positions 28 to 507 of the family's 1533-position model. The record is from RNAcentral.
GAUGAACGCUGGCGGCGUGCCUAAUACAUGCAAGUCGAGCGAACGGACGAGAAGCUUGCUUCUCUGAUGUUAGCGGCGGACGGGUGAGUAACACGUGGAUAACCUACCUAUAAGACUGGGAUAACUUCGGGAAACCGGAGCUAAUACCGGAUAAUAUUUUGAACCGCAUGGUUCAAAAGUGAAAGACGGUCUUGCUGUCACUUAUAGAUGGAUCCGCGCUGCAUUAGCUAGUUGGUAAGGUAACGGCUUACCAAGGCAACGAUGCAUAGCCGACCUGAGAGGGUGGUCGGCCACAUUGGACCUGAGACACUGUCCAGACUCCUGCGGGAGGCAGCAUUAGGGAGUCUUCCGCAAUGGGCGAAAGCCUGACGGAGCAACGCCGCGUGAGUGAUGAAGGUCUUCGGAUCGUAAAACUCUGUUAUUAGGGAAGAACAUAUGUGUAAGUAACUGUGCACAUCUUGACGGUACCUAAUCAGAAAGCCACGGCUAACUACGUG